UGGGGAAUAUUGCACAAUGGGCGCAAGCCUGAUGCAGCCAUGCCGCGUGUGUGAAGAAGGCCUUCGGGUUGUAAAGCACUUUCAGCGGGGAGGAAGGCGGUGAGGUUAAUAACCUCAUCGAUUGACGUUACCCGCAGAAGAAGCACCGGCUAACUCCGUGCCAGCAGCCGCGGUAAUACGGAGGGUGCAAGCGUUAAUCGGAAUCACUGGGGGUAAAGCGCACGCAGGCGGUCUAUCAAGUCGGAUGUGAACUCCCCGGGCUCAACCUGGGAACUGCAUUCGAAACUGACAGGCUAGAGUCUUGUAGAGGGGGGUAGAAUUCCAGGGAGAGCGGUGAAAUGCGUAGAGAUCUGGAGGAAUACCGGUGGCGAAGGCGGCCCCCUUGACAAAGACUGACGCUCAGGUGCGAAAGCGUGGGGAGCAAACAGG
This 429-nucleotide ribosomal RNA is filed under the name Chloroflexota bacterium. Its description in RNAcentral is "Chloroflexi bacterium partial 16S ribosomal RNA". It matches the Rfam family "Bacterial small subunit ribosomal RNA", at positions 355 to 776 of the family's 1533-position model. The record is from RNAcentral. Lineage: Bacteria; Bacillati; Chloroflexota.